Lucilia sericata (common green bottle fly) is the source of this 230-nucleotide long non-coding RNA. RefSeq lists it as uncharacterized. The record is from RefSeq and is a predicted model, not a curated record. NCBI's taxonomy places the organism in Eukaryota, Metazoa, Arthropoda, Insecta, Diptera, Calliphoridae. The transcript is spliced from 2 exons.
UUUAAACAAAAACCCUUCAAGAAUGACUUAAUUUGUUUUAAAAUCGCUUGAAGUAACAACACAGAAAAAAUAUACGUUAUAUUCAUAAACCAUCAUCGAAGCAACAGCGUAUGCAAAAAAAAAUCUAAAGUAUAUUUGUAUAGAGAACAAAAUUUUCGUUUUUAUGGUAUAAAUCAGCAAUGUUGUAAUAAUGGCACCGUCAACGUCGAGCUUGGUUUGGAAAUACUUUG